UGAGGAUAUGCAGGGCAUUUUGGCAUGA
RNAcentral lists this non-coding RNA (28 nucleotides) under Homo sapiens (human). The record is from RNAcentral. Lineage: Eukaryota; Metazoa; Chordata; Mammalia; Primates; Hominidae.